RNAcentral lists this microRNA precursor (84 nucleotides) under Ixodes scapularis (black-legged tick). RNAcentral's name for it is "microRNA mir-286". The record is from RNAcentral. Lineage: Eukaryota; Metazoa; Arthropoda; Arachnida; Ixodida; Ixodidae.
CGGCGAUUGAUGUACGAUUGCUUGGUUUAACUGCAUAUGCAGCAUAUGCAGUUAAACCAAGCAAUCGUACAUCAAUCGCCGUAC